This 468-nucleotide ribosomal RNA is filed under the name uncultured bacterium. RNAcentral describes it as "partial 16S ribosomal RNA". It matches the Rfam family "Bacterial small subunit ribosomal RNA", at positions 28 to 507 of the family's 1533-position model. The record is from RNAcentral.
GACGAACGCUGGCGGCGUGCUUAACACAUGCAAGUCGAACGGAAAGGCCCUGCUUUUGUGGGGUUCUCGAGUGGCGAACAGGUGAGUAACACGUGAGUAACAUGCCCUUGUCUUUGGGAUAACUUCAGGAAAAUGGGGAUAAUACAGGAUAGGAGCUACUGCUGCAUGGUGGGGGUUGGUAAGAUACGGCGGUUGGGGAUGGAUUCGCGGCUUAUCAGCUUGUUGGUGGGGUAGUGGCUUACCAAGGCUUUGACGGGUAGCCGGCCUGAGAGGGUGACCGGCCACACUGGGACUUAGAGACGGCACAGACUGCUACGGGAGGCAGCAGGGGGGAAGACUGCAGGAUGGGCGGAAGGCUGAUGCAGCAACGCUGCGGGCCGUAUGACUGCCUUCUGGGGGUAAACCGCAUGCGCCAGUGACGAAGCGUGAGUGGCGGGAAUGGGUAAAGAAGGACCGGCUAACUACGGG